CAGUCGCCGCGGUAAUACGGAGGGAGCUAGCGUUGUUCGGAAUUACUGGGCGUAAAGCGCACGUAGGCGGCUUUGUAAGUUAGAGGUGAAAGCCUGGAGCUCAACUCCAGAAUUGCCUUUAAGACUGCAUCGCUUGAAUCCAGGAGAGGUGAGUGGAAUUCCGAGUGUAGAGGUGAAAUUCGUAGAUAUUCGGAAGAACACCAGCGGCGAAGGCGGCUCACUGGACUGGUAUUGACGCUGAGGUGCGAAAGCGUGGGGAGCAAACAGGAUUAGAUACCCCUGUAGUCCCUGUCUCUUAUAC
Molecule: ribosomal RNA, 301 nt
Filed under: uncultured bacterium
Lineage: Bacteria
Description: partial 16S ribosomal RNA
Rfam family: Bacterial small subunit ribosomal RNA
Source: RNAcentral